RNAcentral lists this ribosomal RNA (526 nucleotides) under uncultured Acidobacteriota bacterium. RNAcentral's name for it is "bacterial SSU rRNA". It matches the Rfam family "Bacterial small subunit ribosomal RNA", at positions 355 to 897 of the family's 1533-position model. The record is from RNAcentral. Lineage: Bacteria; Pseudomonadati; Acidobacteriota.
UCGGGAAUUUUGGGCAAUGGGCGAAAGCCUGACCCAGCAACGCCGCGUGAGGGAUGAAGUAUUUCGGUAUGUAAACCUCGAAAGAAUGGGAAGAAUAAAUGACGGUACCAUUUAUAAGCUCCGGCUAACUACGUGCCAGCAGCCGCGGUAAUACGUAGGGAGCAAGCGUUGUUCGGAUUUACUGGGCGUAAAGGGCGCGUAGGCGGCGCGGUAAGUCACUUGUGAAAUCUCUGAGCUUAACUCAGAACGGCCAAGUGAUACUGCAGUGCUAGAGUGCAGAAGGGGCAAUCGGAAUUCUUGGUGUAGCGGUGAAAUGCGUAGAUAUCAAGAGGAACACCUGAGGUGAAGACGGGUUGCUAGGCUGACACUGACGCUGAGGCGCGAAAGCCAGGGGAGCAAACGGGAUUAGAUACCCCGGUAGUCCUGGCCCUAAACGAUGAAUACUUGGUGUCUGGAGUUUCAACACUCCGGGUGCCGUCGCUAACGUUUUAAGUAUUCCGCCUGGGGAGUACGCUCGCAAGAGUGA